UACGUAGGGUGCAAGCGUUUAAUCGGAAUUACUGGGCGUAAAGCGUGCGCAGGCGGCUUUGCAAGACAGAUGUGAAAUCCCCGGGCUCAACCUGGGAACUGCAUUUGUGACUGCAUGGCUAGAGUACGGUAGAGGGGGAUUGGAAUUCCGCGUGUAGCAGUGAAAUGCGUAGAUAUGCGGAGGAACACCGAUGGCGAAGGCAAUCCCCUGGACCUGUACUGACG
RNAcentral lists this ribosomal RNA (224 nucleotides) under uncultured bacterium. RNAcentral's name for it is "partial 16S ribosomal RNA". It matches the Rfam family "Bacterial small subunit ribosomal RNA", at positions 524 to 745 of the family's 1533-position model. The record is from RNAcentral.